RNAcentral lists this ribosomal RNA (274 nucleotides) under uncultured bacterium. RNAcentral's name for it is "partial 16S ribosomal RNA". It matches the Rfam family "Bacterial small subunit ribosomal RNA", at positions 523 to 796 of the family's 1533-position model. The record is from RNAcentral.
AUACGGAGGGGGCAAGCGUUGUUCGGAAUUACUGGGCGUAAAGGGCGCGCAGGCGGUUUUGUUAGUCAGGCGUGAAAUCCCCGGGCUCAACCCGGGAACUGCGUUUGAUACUGCGAAACUAGAGUUCGGGAGAGGGUAGUGGAAUUCCCAGUGUAGAGGUGAAAUUCGUAGAUAUUGGGAAGAACACCAGUGGCGAAGGCGGCUACCUGGACCGAUACUGACGCUGAGGCGCGAAAGCGUGGGGAGCAAACAGGAUUAGAAACCCGAGUAGUCC